This 253-nucleotide ribosomal RNA is filed under the name uncultured bacterium. Its description in RNAcentral is "partial 16S ribosomal RNA". It matches the Rfam family "Bacterial small subunit ribosomal RNA", at positions 524 to 776 of the family's 1533-position model. The record is from RNAcentral.
UACGUAGGGUGCGAGCGUUAAUCGGAAUUACUGGCGUAAAGCGCGCGUAGGUGGUUCGUUAAGUUGGAUGUGAAAUCCCCCGGGCUCAACCUGGGAACUGCAUUCAAAACUGACGAGCUAGAGUAUGGUAGAGGGUGGUGGAAUUUCCUGUGUAGCGGUGAAAUGCGUAGAUAUAGGAAGGAACACCAGUGGCGAAGGCGACCACCUGGACUGAUACUGACACUGAGGUGCGAAAGCGUGGGGAGCAAACAGG